Molecule: ribosomal RNA, 497 nt
Filed under: uncultured bacterium
Lineage: Bacteria
Description: partial 16S ribosomal RNA
Rfam family: Bacterial small subunit ribosomal RNA
Source: RNAcentral
GAUGAACGCUGGCGGGGUGCCUAAUACAUGCAAGUCGAGCGAACAGACGAGGAGCUUGCUCCUCUGACGUUAGCGGCGGACGGGUGAGUAACACGUGGAUAACCUACCUAUAAGACUGGGAUAACUUCGGGAAACCGGAGCUAAUACCGGAUAAUAUAUUGAACCGCAUGGUUCAAUAGUGAAAGACGGUUUUGCUGUCACUUAUAGAUGGAUCCGCGCCGCAUUAGCUAGUUGGUAAGGUAACGGCUUACCAAGGCGACGAUGCGUAGCCGACCUGAGAGGGUGAUCGGCCACACUGGAACUGAGACACGGUCCAGACUCCUACGGGAGGCAGCAGUAGGGAAUCUUCCGCAAUGGGCGAAAGCCUGACGGAGCAACGCCGCGUGAGUGAUGAAGGUCUUCGGAUCGUAAAACUCUGUUAUUAGGGAAGAACAAAUGUGUAAGUAACUAUGCACGUCUUGACGGUACCUAAUCAGAAAGCCACGGCUAACUACGUG